UUUUCUAAAAAAGCAAAUAAAGUGAGACAAUUUUUUUUUGAAACAUCAUUUGAAAUGGGAUGGAGAUAAUAUUUACUUUAACUUUUCAAGUCAUUUAUUUUGUUAAGAUUACCAGCGAUCUAAGCAUGCCCAAACUAAUCUUGUUAGCAAUAGCACCUUUUUUUGAAAUAAAAAAGGAUUUCUCCUUUACAUGUCUUUUUAGUUUUUUAGCCUCAUAGUCAAGUUGUUCUUGAUCUGCAUUGCAACAAAGAUAAGAUUUGAGGAGUUCAUCAUUAAAAUACCAUAAACUUCAUGGAGAGAAAUUUAAUACAGUAAUGCUUGGUUUGGACUUUGGGUAACUAAAAAAUCAAAGGAAAGUGGUACCAAAGGUUUUAUAAGUUUUGAAUAUUGAUGUGGACUUGGUGUCUAACAGAGCUAAAUGACGAAAAAUGAUCCAUAUAACUGACCUCAACUAGUUUGGGAUUAAAGCUUAAUUGUUAUUGUUUGGGUGUUUCACAAAAUAUUGAAGGAAGUUGAAUUUUCUUUCUUUAGUUACAUGCAUGAAAAAGAAGAAAAUGUUCUUCUUUUCUUCAUUUCCCUUGGUUUCUUUCCAAUUUGGAGGAAAAUGUUUUGUGACCUCUAAAGGAAAUUGAGAAAUAAAGUAUCCUUUCCUUUUUCCUCUAUUCCUUUCCCCCUUUAGUACACAAACAAAGGAAACGACUAAAAUUCCGUUUCUCUUCUCUUCUUUUCUCUUGAAUUCCUUCAAAACAAACAAAGUGUAAGGG
RNAcentral lists this unclassified non-coding RNA (764 nucleotides) under Hevea brasiliensis (rubber tree). Lineage: Eukaryota; Viridiplantae; Streptophyta; Magnoliopsida; Malpighiales; Euphorbiaceae. The record is from RNAcentral.